GUGGGAGGGGGCUUGCUCCCGAUAACGGAGUGUCAGUCAGCUCAUGUGCCACUGAUACCCUGCUAUCGGGAGCAAGCCCCCUCCCAC
Molecule: unclassified non-coding RNA, 87 nt
Filed under: Pseudomonas sp. OV546
Lineage: Bacteria; Pseudomonadati; Pseudomonadota; Gammaproteobacteria; Pseudomonadales; Pseudomonadaceae
Source: RNAcentral